RNAcentral lists this long non-coding RNA (311 nucleotides) under Oryza sativa (Asian cultivated rice). Its description in RNAcentral is "long non-coding RNA (OSAT_LNC000327)". Lineage: Eukaryota; Viridiplantae; Streptophyta; Magnoliopsida; Poales; Poaceae. The record is from RNAcentral.
CCUCCCAUGCUAUAUAUAGUGCUUGUGCUUAGAUUUCAGAUGUCAUUUCAAAUCGAUCCUGCCCACGAAGUUCCGGGGCAUACCCUGGUGCCGUGCCAAAACAUUCCUGUAAAGAUAGAUGACCAAUCUGCAUGUCAAUUUAAACAUCAAAGAGCAUCUACUAUAUUGCUUAUUGGAAAGCAGUGCAAAGACAUUCCGAGAGCACUGGCAGACUCAUGUAUGCGUGCAAGUAUGUGCAUGAUAACGCGAGCCGAGCUGUUCUGCUCCGAAGGAGCUUUUGCAGAAGUAGAGUUGCCCCUUGCGAAAGCUUU